CUUCACAGCAAUCAGGACGUGCGGCCUUAGUACCUUUCCACCCUUGUGGUUACUAAGUCAGCCUUUCGGACAAACUCGAUCAGCACUUAGAGAGAGAAAGUGUGAAUACUUUUAGAGAGAAGUCAGAGCUUUAGAAAGUACUUGAUUUUAUAACUUGGUGAAUGAUUUACAAAUGAGGCUUCACCCCCUAUUUAUACAAAAUCACCUCCUCAACGGACGGUGGAGAUCGAACCGAUCUAACGGCUCAGAUCAUUUCCUUCCUAUGAAGUAACUUCAACAUGAAGUACUUCACUCUUAAGCUACUUCCUCCUAAAGUAUUCUACACACUUCCAUCCUUAUUUUAUAUUAUCCAUACUUAGAUAUUUUACAAGCUUAAACUUAAGAAAAAUACUAAGUAUGGUCGGUUUUAAACCUCUCGGUCCCGACCCAUUAUUUCUUCAAAAGUUGGGGCGUGACAUCCUCCCCCACCUAUGCUGGUGACGCCCUCGUCGCCAUGUAUGCCUUCAGUGCGUCCCGGAAUUGCCACAAGUCCUCUUCCGGUUCCCAAGUUGCUUCCGCCUCCGGCAGUCCCUUCCAUUUGAUGAGAAAAUGGGUCUGUCUUGGGACUCCUCGCUUCCUGACUUCUUUGGACGCCAGUACUUCCCCAAUCUCCUUGUCAUAAGACUUGGUCAUGACUGGUGGUGCCCUGGUCGAGACGCCUCUGUCUUGGUCGUCCAUAUCAGCCUGGUACGGCUUCAGCAUGCUCACAUGAAAGACCGGAUGGAUCUUAAGUGUAUCCGGUAGGUCAAGUCGGUAGGAAACCUUUCCCACCUUCCCAACUAUCUCGAACGGCCCUUCGUACCUCCGGAUCAAGCCUUUGUGUAGGCUCCGGAAUGCCUUGAACUGUUGUGGAAGUAACUUCACAAGUACAAGGUCGCCCACUGAGUACUCCGAAGACCGUCUCUUCUCAUCUGCCCACUUCUUCAUACGCUUACGGGACUUCUCCAAACAUGCUCGGGCCUGAUCCGCAUGUUCUUCCCACUGCUUGACCAUGAUAAACGCCCCUGGACUUCUCCCCUCAGUCCUUGGUGCAGCCAAAGUAUGUGGAGUUAGUGGCUGUUGUCCUGUUGCGAGCUCGAAUGGACUGCGUCCUGUCGCCUCGCUGCGUUGAAGGUUGUAAGAGAACUGGGCUAUAUCCAGCAACUUCGCCCAGUCUCGUUGGUUGGCGCUUACAAAGUGACGGAGAUAACUCUCAAGCAAGGCAUUCACCCUUUCGGUCUGCCCAUCAGAUUGCGGGUGAAAGCUUGUUGAGAAACUUAGUUCUGUCCCAAGCAUUUUGAACAGCUCCGUCCAUAAGCGCCCGGUGAAUCGUGGAUCACGAUCACUCACGAUGUUCCGCGGAAGUCCCCAUAACUUAACCACGUUUUUGAAAAACGCCCUUGCUGCCUCUUCCGCGGUGCAGUCCCGGUCGCAAGCCACGAACGUCCCAUACUUAGAGAAUCGGUCCACAAUCACCAGGAUGGAUCCGAACCCUUCGGACUUAGGCAAUGCGCUGAUGAAGUCUAGGGAAACCGAGUCCCAUGGUCUCUCUGGAAUCGGAAGUGGCUGUAGCAAACCCGCGGACUGCUUGUUCUCCGUCUUGUCUUGCUGGCAAACAAGACAAGUCUUCACAUAAAGUUCCACGGUAUCCCUCAUCCGUGGCCAGUAGUAUCCUGCUUCGAUAAGUGCCAUUGUUCUCUUCUGUCCCGGAUGGCCCGCCCAUCGGGUAUCAUGGCACUCCCGAAUGAUGUCUCGUCGAAGACUUUCCCACUUAGGCACAUAAAGUCUUCGACCUUUGGUAUAGAGUAGCCCGUUCUCUACCCAAAAUCGAUGCACCUUCCCUUCGUUGGAUAGUUUCACCAGCUCCUUAGCGACUGGAUCGCGUUCCAGCCCCUCUCGGAUUCGAGCCAUAAUGGUCCCCUCGACUUGGCUCAUUGCUGCUAGCUCUGCUUUCCGACUUAGUGCAUCGGCCACCACAUUCACCUUUCCUGGCUUGUACUCCAAAGUGUAAUCGAACUCAGCCAGGAAGUCUUGCCAUCUUGCCUGUUUCGGGGACAGCUUCUUCUGGGUCUGAAAGUAGCUCGUCGCCACGUUGUCCGUUUUGACUGAGAAGUGCGAUCCCAGAAGAUAGUGUCUCCAAACUCGUAAGCAAUGGACUAUCGCGGUCAUCUCCUUCUCUUGAACCGUGUACCGCCGUUCAGUCUCAUUGAGCUUGCGGCUCUCAAAGGCAAUUGGGUGUCCAUUUUGCAUCAGCACUCCCCCGAUGGCAAAGUCGGAGGCAUCCGUGUGUAACUCGAAAGGGAGACUGAAGUCGGGUAAGGCAAGGACGGGUUCCUGGCUUACUGCAGUCUUCAGCUCCUCGAAGGCUUCUUGGCAACGUCCGGACCAGUCCCAUGUCUUCCCCUUCUUGAGAAGGUCCGUCAGUGGUGCUGCCUUCCUUGAAUAUCCCUCGAUGAACCGACGAUAGUAGUUGACCAGACCAAGGAAAGAUCUCAACUCCGUCACCUUGGUCGGGGCCUCCCACUCCAUAAUCGCCUUGACCUUCGGUUCAUCCAUCUUCAGCUUUCCAUGGCCGAUAACAUGGCCAAGGAACUGAACUUCCUCAGUGGCAAACGUGCACUUCUCCCUCUUCACGAACAGUUCGUUUUCUCGGAGAACCCGGAAAACUGUCCGUAGGUGCUCUACAUGCUCCUCCAUCGAGUUGCUGUAGAUGACUAUGUCGUCUAAGUAUGCCACCACGAACCGAUCCAAGUAGGGUUGUAGGAUCUGGUUCAUAAGGGUGCAAAACGUGGCUGGGGCGUUCGUAAGCCCGAAGGGCAUCACCAACCACUCGAACGACCCAUACCGCGUUAUGCACGCAGUCUUCGGCUCAUCCCCUUCCGCUAUCCGGACUUGAUAGUAACCCUUCUGCAAGUCCAUCUUCGUAUAGACUUUUGCCCCACCAAGUCUAUCGAAUAGGUCGGCAAUCAGCGGAAUGGGAUAACGGUUCUUGAUCGUCACCUUGUUAAGGGCCCGGUAGUCCACGCACAUCCUCAACGAACCAUCAUGCUUCUUUUGGAACAAAACCGGGGCGCCAUAAGGUGCCUUCGACGGUCUCAGCUUCCCCGUCGAUAACAACUCAUCGAGUUGUUUCCUCAACUCCUCCAGCUCGGAUGGAGCCAUCCUAUAAGGUGCCAUAGAUGGUGGUUUGGCUCCCGGCUCCAACUCGAUCUGAUGGUCCACCGCCCUCCUCGGUGGUAACUUCUCAGGCAACUUAGCUGGCAUCACGUCCUUGUUCUCCUCAAGGACUGCCUCGACGACUUGUGGGAUAGACUCCACGUUCUUGGGCUGAUCCUCCACCUUCAUCAUAGCCAAAAACGUGGGUUCACCCUUCUUCACCCCCUUGGUGAGCUGCAUCGCCGAUAGUUGCCUCGUCCCAUCGGUUUUCUCUUCCAAGGCUGGAAUCAUGCACGGUGAUCCCUUCUCGAGUAUGCAUACCGAGCUCAACGCAGGCAUGGGUAUGGCUGAGACUUGUCUCAUGAAUUCCAUACCCAAGACUACCUUGAAGUCGUCCAUAGGAAUGACUGAGAAGUUCACCGGACCAUUCCAGCUUCCCAAUUUCAUCCCGACCCCUCGGGCUAUCCCAUGGACUGGUUGAGCCUUGGCGUUCACCGUCUUCAUCCAACCGUCCUUCUUGGACCACUUGACACCAAGUCUCACAGCUUCGUCUAUCGCCAUGAAGUUGUGAGUGGCGCCCGUGUCCACCAUCACUCGGGUCGGUUUGUCAUUGAUCCGAGCCUCGACAUACAUGAGCCCCUUGCUCGUUGGCUUUACCACCGGGUUAGCCUUCAGGGCGUUGAGAAGCUGCAACGAUCCCAUCUUUCCCGGCUCCUCUUCUGGAGACUCGGUGUCCCGACUCUCCAUGAUUGCGGACAAGGAUCCCAUUUUUGGACAGUCCUUCAUCGCAUGUGGCCCCUUGCACACAAAGCACCCUCCCUUAGGAACGAAGGACUUUUUCCUUGCCUCGAAGUCUUCCCGUCGAGCACCCCUCUCAAAACUCCUUGAGUUGGAUGGUCGGGAAGUAUCCCGUCUCGCUCCCCCACUUUUGGCCACGACCUGCUCCUUCUUCUUUGAGGACUCGGACGGACCAGAGGUGCGGAAGUCAGUUAGCGACUCAGCCACCGCAAUGGCUUCGUCCACUGUCUUGACUCCCCGACGCUGUAACUCUUGUUUGGCCCAAGCUUGCAGUCCAUCGGUGAAGUAGAACACAAGGUCCUCUGCAGUCAUGUUCGGAAUCUGAAGCAUGAGCGUUGUGAACUCCUUCACAUAGUCCCGGAUCGAGCCACGCUGUCGAAGUUCCCUUAACUUCUUACGGGCCUCAUACACGACGUUCUCCGGGUAGAACUGCCGCUUUAACUCCUUCUUGAAAUCAUCCCAAGUAUCGAUCCGGCAUGUUCCUUGCUCGAUCUCGGAAUGUUUCCUUCGCCACCACAGCAUGGCCGUGUCCGACAGGUAGGACGUCGCAGCCUUCACCUUCGCAUUCUCAGCCACCAAGUUGAGAUUGUCGAAGUAUAUCUCCAUCUGCCAAAGGAAAUUCUCGACCUCCUUGGCAUCCCGCGCCCCGUUGAACCGAUUUGGCUUCGGAAAUUCAACCUUACCAACACUGGUUCCUUCAACGGUUCCAGCGUUCGCGCUUGCCCUCUUGACCAGUGCGACGUCCUCCUCCAUUGCAGUAAAGCGUGCCUUCAUCCCCUCGAUGUCAUCACGCAAAGCCUGCAUGGAUCCCGUCACCAGCUCCUCGAGCCGAAUGAACCGAGAGUCCAAGUCGGCAGCAUUUUGCUUGACCUCCUCAAGCCCACCGAACACAACACUCUCCAGCUCAGUGACGGUAUGCUCGACCCUCUCGAGCUUCUCACCAAUCUCGCCCACAGCCACACCCAGAGCCUCACGAGAAACACUCUUUUCCCGCUGGGUGCCAGCACGUGUGGACGUAGCCUCCCGUCCGCGCUCCUCCACGCCGGACUGCGAGCUUGCUUCUUUUUGUUUAUCUCCCUUAGCCAUUUUCUUCACUCGGACAGAGGCUCCCUUUGUCUGGAUCGUAACUCCGCUCUGAUACCAACUGUCACGGACUGAUUUCUUCACAGCAAUCAGGACGUGCGGCCUUAGUACCUUUCCACCCUUGUGGUUACUAAGUCAGCCUUUCGGACAAACUCGAUCAGCACUUAGAGAGAGAAAGUGUGAAUACUUUUAGAGAGAAGUCAGAGCUUUAGAAAGUACUUGAUUUUAUAACUUGGUGAAUGAUUUACAAAUGAGGCUUCACCCCCUAUUUAUACAAAAUCACCUCCUCAACGGACGGUGGAGAUCGAACCGAUCUAACGGCUCAGAUCAUUUCCUUCCUAUGAAGUAACUUCAACAUGAAGUACUUCACUCUUAAGCUACUUCCUCCUAAAGUAUUCUACACACUUCCAUCCUUAUUUUAUAUUAUCCAUACUUAGAUAUUUUACAAGCUUAAACUUAAGAAAAAUACUAAGUAUGGUCGGUUUUAAACCUCUCGGUCCCGACCCAUUAUUUCUUCAAAAGUUGGGGCGUGAC
Molecule: long non-coding RNA, 5589 nt
Filed under: Brassica rapa (field mustard)
Lineage: Eukaryota; Viridiplantae; Streptophyta; Magnoliopsida; Brassicales; Brassicaceae
Description: long non-coding RNA (BRAP_LNC003229)
Source: RNAcentral